UAAAACUUUAACCCUAGAGAAACCCAACCAAAUCGGCGCCCCACUCCUUCCAGCUUCUGCCGCACCCCGCCCGCCGGAAACGUUAAUUUUCCGGCGUUCUACGUAAGUCCCGGUUCCCCAUGGUCCCCCCAUCAUUAUAACCCGAUUCACGCGUUUUCUUACUCAUAUCAUUUUGGAUUUUAUCCUUUUAGGAGAGAAUGGAAAAACGGGAGGCGUAGGAUCGAGUCACACUCGAUCUACCCCCUCCAUCUAUACUCUAUUGCCACUAAAAGACAUAAAAUCUGAUUUUUCUUCUUUUUUGGAUUUUUGGGUGAAUAUUUUCGUAUUUGUUUUGAGGUCCCCACACGAGAUUUCUUGGAGAACAAGAACUAGGAUCCCUAUAUAUCUGAGAUUUUCGGAUUGGAGGGGGGAGGAAAAAAUUGGAGAGAAUAGAAGCUAGGUUUUUCGGGGAUUUUUUGUUUGUUCUUCUAAUUUUAAUAGAGUUCUCUUUUGAGUGUUCUUUGGUUCUGUUUGGUUUCGUUUUCGUAUAAAAAAUCAAAAUAAGAAAAAUCAAUCUCUUCCAGUUUCAAUCUUACAUAAAGUCAGAAAUACAAAGAAAAAGGGUUAAGUUUCGUCUCUUGCUUCGGCCAAAUGUAGUUUAGAUUUGGAGUUGCCGUUCGAAGUCGAGUCAGUGGUUCAUGCUCGAUCUAGCUGCUGCAUUUUUGAAGUGCGACACGCCGGUUCUAUUUGAGUUUCUAGUAUAAUUGUGGCUUAUUAACAUCUCUGUAAUUACCGGAAUUUUGAUUAAAGGUUCGUUCAUUCUCUUCCUAUUUUCAGAUUUUGGGUUGGAUUUACACCUGAUUUGAGCCUUAAUUAAUUGGUAUUCGGGAACACCGAACUUAUUUGGUUCUUAAUUGAGUAUUAGCAGAAGUUUGUUGAAAUUAUAUAAAUUGAUCAAAAAUAAUUGAAAUAGAUUAGUUUUAUAAAUAAAAGUCAAAAAUGGUAUUCAAGAACAUUGGUUUUCUUGCAUGAUAAAAUUGAUUUGUAUAAGUUUGAAUUUUCUUACAUGCCAUGUUUGAUUAUUUUUGUAUGGCAACGUUAAAUUUUUGGUGUAUGGUUUUAGUAUAAAUAGGUUGUACAAACUCAUUUGUAAAAUCAUCGCAAAACUUGUAUUAGAAAUUACAAGUGUAGUAUUGUAAGCUUUGAGUUUGAGUUAGUAAAUAUAUUUUUCUUUCUCGGACUUUCAUUUUUCGGUUUCAAAUCCCAAAGUUUAUUUCCGAGGAUUCAUUAUUUUUUUUGAUUUCUACAUUUGGUAUCAGAGCAAGGUUGAGUGUUGUGAGAAUGAAAAAUAUUGAAUCAUAUCGUCUAGUAACACGAUUCAAUUUCAGCUUCCAAGACUCACCUGGAAAAAUUACAACAAUUGGUCAAUCCAAUUGAAGGUAUUUUAGCACUUAUAUACUAAAAAAAUUUCUCUUUUCACUGUAGCGUGCGUGAAGUGCAUUUCCGUCACUAUUCUCACCGGAAUUCGGUGGCGAAUUAUUACAAUUUGGUGUCUCGACACUCUCCUUCGUGAGGUGAACACCUUCCUCUUAUUGUUUUUCUAAAAUCAUAAUCCAAACGCAACAGAUCUUAAAUUUUGCGUUUCUUACUGUUCAUUCAAAUUCUGGUUCGUUCUGUUGAAUCUCUCGGCUUGCUAACUAAUUUUUUGGAUUCGAAUCUAUAUACAUCUACAAUCAUACGACCUCCAGAUCGUUUGUUCACAACAUUUCUUUCGUUUGUACAAAAUAAUGUAUGAUCUCGUGUCUCAUUGGUAGUAUCUUGAAGAGUUCACGCGAUUUUGGCAGCCAUGU
Molecule: long non-coding RNA, 1829 nt
Filed under: Nicotiana benthamiana
Lineage: Eukaryota; Viridiplantae; Streptophyta; Magnoliopsida; Solanales; Solanaceae
Description: long non-coding RNA (NBEN_LNC038623)
Source: RNAcentral